UAUGUUUAUUUUCCCUUUCUUCAUGAAACAUGAUCAGACAUGACACUGUUUUUCAACUAAGGUUGGACUUUCUAACACAGAAUUAUUCCUUUGCAGUAAAGAAGAGGGAUGUUCGCUCCUAUCUUCGGAAUGAACCCCGAGAAGCACCUUCUUAAUGCUGGAGGACGGACAGACAACCGACGCUCUUAAUGACAUCGACUUUGAAUGUGAAGCGCGCUACGAGAGGAAGCACUUGGCUCCAGCCGGGUUGGGACGUACUCUGAGCAGUGGGCUGCGGUCACGACCCACUUCUUCUGGAUGAGA
Molecule: long non-coding RNA, 303 nt
Organism: Hypomesus transpacificus
Lineage: Eukaryota; Metazoa; Chordata; Actinopteri; Osmeriformes; Osmeridae
Exons: 3
Source: RefSeq, a predicted model, not a curated record